UGAGUACGAGAUGCUACGGCAUCGAAGCAGUCUAUGUCAUACUUCCAAGAAAAGCUUGCAAUGUCAUAAACAAAUAAUGCCUGUACCAUAACCGACACAGGUGGGUAGGUAGAGUAUACUAGGGGGCGCGAGAUAACUCUCUCUAAGGAACUCGGCAAAAUGACUCCGUAACUUCGGGAGAAGGAGUGCCUUAUUUUUAUAAGGUUGCAAUAACAAGAUCCAAGCAACUGUUUACCAAAAACACAGGUCUCCGCUAAGUCGUAGGACGAUGUAUGGGGGCUGACGCCUGCCCAGUGCCAGAAGGUUAAAGAAGUUGGUUAGCAUUAGCGAAGCUGAUAACUGAAGCCCUGGUGAACGGCGGCCGUAACUAUAACGGUCCUAAGGUAGCGAAAUUCCUUGUCGGGUAAGUUCCGACCCGCACGAAAGGCGUAAUGAUUUGGAUACUGUCUCGGAGAGGGGCUCGGUGAAAUAGACUUGUCUGUGAAGAUGCGGACUACCUGCACCUGGACAGAAAGACCCUAUGAAGCUUUACUGUAACUUGAGAUUGAAAUUGGACUUUAUCUGCGCAGUAUAGGUGGGAGACGUUGAAAAUAUUCUUGCGGGAAUAUUGGAGUCAUCAGUGAGAUACCACUCUUAUAAUGUUAGAUUUCUAACUUUGUAUCAUUAUCUGGUCAAAGAACAGUUUCAGGCGGGCAGUUUGACUGGGGCGGUCGCCUCCCAAACGGUAACGGAGGCGCACAAAGGUUUCCUCUGAACGUGUAGAAAUCGUAUCUAGAGUGUAAAGGCAUAAGGAAGCUUGACUGUGAGACCUACAAGUCGAGCAGGGACGAAAGUCGGUCUUAGUGAUCUGACGGUGCUGAGUGGAAAGGCCGUCACUCAACGGAUAAAAGUUACUCUAGGAUAACAGGCUGAUCUCCCCCAAGAGUUCACAUCGUCGGGGAGGUUUGGCACCUCGAUGUCGGCUCAUCGCAUCCUGGGGCGGUAGUACGUCCCAAGGGUUGGGCUGUUCGCCCAUGAAAGCGGUACGCGAGCUGGGUUCAGAACGUCGUGAGACAGUUCGGUCCAUAUCCGGUGUAGGCGUUAGAAUAUUGAGAGGAGCCUUCUUUAGUACGAGAGGACCGAGAAGGACAUACCUCUGGUGUACCAGUUAUCGUGCCAACGGUAAACGCUGGGUAGCCAUGUAUGGAGAGGAUAACCGCUGAAAGCAUCUAAGUGGGAAGCCCACCUCAAGAUAAG
This 1236-nucleotide ribosomal RNA is filed under the name metagenome. RNAcentral's name for it is "bacterial LSU rRNA". It matches the Rfam family "Bacterial large subunit ribosomal RNA", at positions 1564 to 2808 of the family's 2925-position model. The record is from RNAcentral.